GGAGAGAUGGCCGAGUGGUCUAAGGCGCACGCCUGGAGAGCGUGUAAUCGCCAAAAGCGGUUCGAGGGUUCGAAUCCCUCUCUCUCCGCCA
Molecule: transfer RNA, 91 nt
Filed under: Bacteroidota bacterium
Lineage: Bacteria; Pseudomonadati; Bacteroidota
Also listed under: 2 other names
Description: Bacteroidetes bacterium (hot springs metagenome) tRNA-Ser
Rfam family: tRNA
About the family: Transfer RNA (tRNA) molecules are approximately 80 nucleotides in length. Their secondary structure includes four short double-helical elements and three loops (D, anti-codon, and T loops).
Source: RNAcentral